CUUCCUGUUUUCAUGAAUAACAGCCACUGAGACAGAGCCACGCUUGUGCACGCACUGUCUAUUACUGAGCUCCCUCCGGAAUGGCGGAGUCAAGUGCCAGCAAGACGAACCGCACAAACUGCAAAGCCUAUUUACUCGCUGACUGUCAAGGACGUUUGCAGGCUCCUCCUAGAAGACCCUGAAGAGGGCACGUUUCUCCAGCCCCGCUGCUGUCCUUUCCCCCAACAUCAAGCCUUCUCCUCCACUCCCCAUUCUUUGGGGAGAGAAAGGUGACUCCUAUGCCUGUGAAAAAGAAGGGAGGUUCUGAAAAAAAUCGAGUUUACUGGGUCAGAUCUCUCUCCCCUCCCUUCUGGAUCAGUCAUGACAUCUGGUACUAAGUGUGCUAAACAAUGACAUCCAGCAGAAUGGAGUUAAGGUGCCAAGGAUCUGCUGAAUACACAGGCAGAUGUUCUAGAAUCCUGAACUUUGGAGGUCCCAGGAAAAAGCAAUAGGAGAAAAGCCAAGUCAGUCCCGGCUGGGCAGACCAGGGGACUCUGGAGGGAAGGUCAGAGGCAGCGUCUGGAGCGGCCAGGUGUCAGCCAGCGUUCCGUCCGCUUCCUCACCCACGGCCAAGUAUGUGACGGGGGUCCACACAUCAAGAAAGGGUCUGCCUGGUUGGCCACAGGGAAGGAUCGGCACUGCCAGUUCAGAGACCUGCCCACCACGAGAAAACCUAUUUCCAUCCAACUUCUACAAGUGGGUGGACAAGAAAGCCCACUGACUGGAAGCUCCCUGAAUCCUGCUAAACCGAAGGAGCUGCAUUUCAUCAUGAGCGACAUAUAUGUCCACUCAUCACAAUGCAGUUUUCCUGGGACUUCUAGAAAGAAAUGAAAUUCUACAUGGGCCCCUGGCUUCUGUGGCUCCAGGAAGAGGGACUGAUGUCUGCCCACGGACAAACUGGCUCACCCAGCUUCCACAAAACCUAGUCAGGCCCCUAGGGAUUGGACUUGAACGACAUUAUCAAAGAGAAACUGCAAAGUGAGUCAAAAUAAAAAGCUUUUCAUGG
Molecule: long non-coding RNA, 1045 nt
Organism: Manis javanica (Malayan pangolin)
Lineage: Eukaryota; Metazoa; Chordata; Mammalia; Pholidota; Manidae
Source: RefSeq, a predicted model, not a curated record